AUUCUACUCCCUCCGUUGCACAAUACAUGCCUUCUAUUUGUCAAAAUAUAUAUGUAUCUAGACAUGUUUUAGUAUAUAGGUACAUCCAUUUUUGGACAAAUGGAAGUCAAGUAUUUUGGACGGAGGGAGUACACA
This is a non-coding RNA of Triticum aestivum (bread wheat), 135 nucleotides long. NCBI's taxonomy places the organism in Eukaryota, Viridiplantae, Streptophyta, Magnoliopsida, Poales, Poaceae. The record is from Rfam.